AACGAACGCUGGCGGCAGGCCUAACACAUGCAAGUCGAGCGGGGGAGCAAUCCCUAGCGGCGGACGGGUUAGUAACGCGUGGGAACAUACCCUUUGGUACGGAAUAGCCUCGGGAAACUGAGAGUAAUACCGUAUGUGCCCUUCGGGGGAAAGAUUUAUCGCCAAAGGAUUGGCCCGCGUUGGAUUAGGUAGUUGGUGGGGUAAUGGCCUACCAAGCCUACGAUCCAUAGCUGGUUUGAGAGGAUGAUCAGCAACACUGGGACUGAGACACGGCCCAGACUCCUACGGGAGGCAGCAGUGGGGAAUCUUAGACAAUGGGCGCAAGCCUGAUCUAGCCAUGCCGCGUGAGCGAUGAAGGCCUUAGGGUUGUAAAGCUCUUUCAGAUGGGAAGAUAAUGACGGUACCAUCAGAAGAAGCCCCGGCUAACUCCGUGCCAGCAGCCGCGGU
RNAcentral lists this ribosomal RNA (447 nucleotides) under uncultured bacterium. RNAcentral describes it as "bacterial SSU rRNA". It matches the Rfam family "Bacterial small subunit ribosomal RNA", at positions 29 to 521 of the family's 1533-position model. The record is from RNAcentral.